This 66-nucleotide transfer RNA is filed under the name Pseudoxya diminuta. RNAcentral's name for it is "tRNA-Leu". It matches the Rfam family "tRNA". From Rfam's summary of the family: Transfer RNA (tRNA) molecules are approximately 80 nucleotides in length. Lineage: Eukaryota; Metazoa; Arthropoda; Insecta; Orthoptera; Acrididae. The record is from RNAcentral.
UUUAAUAUGGCAGAAUAAUGCAUUAGAUUUAAGCUCUAAAAAUAAAGGAUUAACCUUUUAUUAAAA